Molecule: non-coding RNA, 71 nt
Organism: Datura stramonium (jimsonweed)
Lineage: Eukaryota; Viridiplantae; Streptophyta; Magnoliopsida; Solanales; Solanaceae
Source: the annotation of a GenBank genome assembly
GCAUCCAUCGCCGAAUGGUUAAAGCACCCAACUCAUAAUUGGCGACUCAGGUUCAAUUCCUACUGGAUGCA